Molecule: ribosomal RNA, 481 nt
Filed under: Clostridioides difficile
Lineage: Bacteria; Bacillati; Bacillota; Clostridia; Peptostreptococcales; Peptostreptococcaceae
Description: bacterial SSU rRNA
Rfam family: Bacterial small subunit ribosomal RNA
Source: RNAcentral
UGCAUGGUUGUCGUCAGCUCGUGUCGUGAGAUGUUGGGUUAAGUCCCGCAACGAGCGCAACCCUUGUCUUUAGUUGCCAUCAUUAAGUUGGGCACUCUAGAGAGACUGCCAGGGAUAACCUGGAGGAAGGUGGGGAUGACGUCAAAUCAUCAUGCCCCUUAUGCUUAGGGCUACACACGUGCUACAAUGGGUAGUACAGAGGGUUGCCAAGCCGUAAGGUGGAGCUAAUCCCUUAAAGCUACUCUCAGUUCGGAUUGUAGGCUGAAACUCGCCUACAUGAAGCUGGAGUUACUAGUAAUCGCAGAUCAGAAUGCUGCGGUGAAUGCGUUCCCGGGUCUUGUACACACCGCCCGUCACACCACGGGAGUUGGAGACGCCCGAAGCCGAUUAUCUAACCUUUUGGAAGAAGUCGUCGAAGGUGGAAUCAAUAACUGGGGUGAAGUCGUAACAAGGUAGCCGUAUCGGAAGGUGCGGCUGGAUC